CCCUUAGAUGUUCUGGGCUGCACGCGCGCUACACUGAUGCACUCAACGAGUUUACGACCUUGUCCGAGAGGAUUGGGUAAUCUUUUUAGAAUGCAUCGUGAUGGGGAUAGAUUAUUGCAAUUAUUAAUCUUCAACGAGGAAUUCCUAGUAAGCGCGAGUCAUCAGCUCGUGCUGAUUACGUCCCUGCCCUUUGUACACACCGCCCGUCGCUACUACCGAUUGAAUGGCUUAGUGAGCCUUUGGGAUUGGCAGCCAACACCGGCAACGGUAGCUGGCCGCCGAAAACUUAUGCAAACUUGGUCAUUUAGAGGAAGUAAAAGUCGUAACA
RNAcentral lists this ribosomal RNA (328 nucleotides) under uncultured eukaryote. Its description in RNAcentral is "partial 18S ribosomal RNA". It matches the Rfam family "Eukaryotic small subunit ribosomal RNA", at positions 1470 to 1796 of the family's 1831-position model. The record is from RNAcentral.